RNAcentral lists this ribosomal RNA (892 nucleotides) under uncultured bacterium. RNAcentral describes it as "bacterial SSU rRNA". It matches the Rfam family "Bacterial small subunit ribosomal RNA", at positions 83 to 976 of the family's 1533-position model. The record is from RNAcentral.
UUUUGAUGACGACCGGCGCACGGGUGCGUAACGCGUAUAGAACCUACCUUAUAUUGGGGGAUAGCCCAGAGAAAUUUGGAUUAAUACCCCAUGGUAUCAUUAUUUGGCAUCAUUUAGUGAUUAAAGAUUUAUCGAUAUAAGAUGGCUAUGCGUUCUAUUAGCUAGUUGGUUAGGUAACGGCUGACCAAGGCUACGAUAGAUAGGGGUCCUGAGAGGGAGAUCCCCCACACUGGUACUGAGACACGGACCAGACUCCUACGGGAGGCAGCAGUGAGGAAUAUUGGACAAUGGAGGCAACUCUGAUCCAGCCAUGCCGCGUGCAGGAAGACUGCCCUAUGGGUUGUAAACUGCUUUUAUAGAGGAAGAAACCGCUCUACGUGUAGAGCUCUGACGGUACUCUACGAAUAAGGAUCGGCUAACUCCGUGCCAGCAGCCGCGGUAAUACGGAGGAUCCAAGCGUUAUCCGGAAUCAUUGGGUUUAAAGGGUCCGUAGGCGGGCUUGUAAGUCAGUGGUGAAAGUUUGCGGCUCAACCGCAAAAUUGCCAUUGAUACUGCAGGUCUUGAAUCAUUAUGAAGUGGUUAGAAUAAGUAGUGUAGCGGUGAAAUGCAUAGAUAUUACUUAGAAUACCGAUUGCGAAGGCAGAUCACUAAUAAUGUAUUGACGCUAAGGGACGAAAGCGUGGGUAGCGAACAGGAUUAGAUACCCUGGUAGUCCACGCCGUAAACGAUGGUUACUAGCUGUUCGGUUUUCGGACUGAGUGGCUAAGCGAAAGUGAUAAGUAACCCACCUGGGGAGUACGUUCGCAAGAAUGAAACUCAAAGGAAUUGACGGGGGCCCGCACAAGCGGUGGAGCAUGUGGUUUAAUUCGAUGAUACGCGAGGAACCUUACCA